UAGUUUUUUUAGAAAUAAAUUUAAUUUACAGAUUUUUGAUUUUUUGGUUAUUUAUUUAAUUAAAAAAUUUAUUAAUUUGAAUAUCUUAAGGGAUAAGCUUUAAGAUAAAUUAUUAAAAAUUAAUAAUGGUGAUAUAAAAUAUAUGCUUAGAAUUAGCAAUUAUUUAAAAGUUUGUUAUAAAUUAUUUUAUAGAUUAUAUUAUUUAUUAUAUUUUAAUUUAUUUAUAAAAAUUUUUUUAUUAAUUAAGUAUAAAAAGUAAUAAUGAUAGAAUUAGUAUAUUUUUUUUGUUUAUGUAAUUUUAUAUGAUAAGUUUGUAUAAAGAACUCGGCAAAAAUUUUACCCGCCUGUUUAACAAAAACAUGUCUUUUUGAGUUAUUUUUAAAGUCUGACCUGCCCACUGAAAUUAUUUAAAUGGCCGCAGUAUUCUAACUGUGCAAAGGUAGCAUAAUCAUUAGUCUUUUAAUUGAAG
RNAcentral lists this ribosomal RNA (469 nucleotides) under Bactrocera correcta (guava fruit fly). Its description in RNAcentral is "partial 16S ribosomal RNA". The record is from RNAcentral. Lineage: Eukaryota; Metazoa; Arthropoda; Insecta; Diptera; Tephritidae.